ACUGCCAGACGAAGGGAGGAGACUGGCGAGCGAAGAUAGUGGUGGUGGAAGAAAAGAGAAAAGAUAAGAAAAAAGAAAGGAUUAAAGAAACAAAAAAAUCAAAAAGAAAGAAAAGUAUCAAAUAAAAGAAACUAGAGAACUAAAAAAAGAUGGAGAGAGAUAAUGGAAAAGAAGACCUUAUGUACUCCUGGGUGGAACAAGGUGGAAGAUGAGAAUAAUCUGCCCGUUGCAUCAUUUAUCAGAUAUAUUAACCGCUAACUCUGCCCAACCCAUUUCUCCAAGAGCAUCAACAUCUAAUCCAGGAGUCACAAAAGAACCCAGAUGGACAUCAAAAGAUCUGCAGAACUCACUGGCCUCAGUUAAGGUCAGUGAACAUGAUUCCACAAUAAGGAAGACACUGGGAGAAAAUGUCAUCUAUGGGAGAGUUGCAAGACAACAUGAAACAUGGCCAAUACCUGCCGACAUUUAAGAAUCAUUGCAACAUUUUCUUGUCAGAAUUUCUGAAGACUUCUCUCCAUUUUUCUCCUGUGGAAGGCAGAAUCUAGGUGCGCCUUUAUUUUGAAAAUCCCAUGGCAUAUCCAUGACACUCAGCUUGGAACGAAGCUUGGACUGUGGCCAGAUCAUGGCAAGCAGCCAGAAAAUGGACAGUGAAGAUAUUUACUCAACUCUCUGCAAUAGAUGUGCCAUGUGCGCACAACCAGAAGAAGACAGAGGGAUGGAAGGCUAUUCAAGGAGAUUGUGCUGCAUUUGCUCUUACAAGUAUAGAUGAAUUAGUGACCUUGAUAGUUGUUGGUAAGCUGGUUCUAAUAGACACAAAUUAUUAUUUCAUAAUAAAUGGCCAUCAACAAAAAUCUCUUUAACUGCUAAAAAACAAAACAAAACAAAUGAUGUACUUUAAAAGGAGGUAUGUGGCACCUUAUAGGGCACAGUUUUAUUUCAUUUAUUGUAAAAAGACUAGAUUGUUUUUAAUUUUCUGUUCAUGACAUCAUUUUUUCUGUUUUUCACAGCUCGGGAAUAAAUUUAAUGAAACUAAACUUUAGUUUCUUUUUGUAAGUUGAUAACACAAGUGUAAUUUAUUGUGUGAACAGGAAAACAUCAUCUCAUAUCGAUCACAGGCCCCCGAAUCAAACUGAAUCAAAGCAAACGGUACCAUGUCAGAUUUGGUGAUGUAGUAUCGUUGUUCAAAGAGUUGACGUAGCACCGUAUUGGCAUGUAACCUGUGAUUUACACCCCUAUUAUUUUCACAAUAAAGGCUAGAAAAAUGUGA
This is a long non-coding RNA of Amphiprion ocellaris (clown anemonefish), 1267 nucleotides long. RefSeq lists it as uncharacterized. NCBI's taxonomy places the organism in Eukaryota, Metazoa, Chordata, Actinopteri, Pomacentridae. The record is from RefSeq and is a predicted model, not a curated record. The transcript has 4 exons.